UAAUACAUGCAAGUCGAGCGGACAGAUGGGAGCUUGCUCCCUGAUGUUAGCGGCGGACGGGUGAGUAACACGUGGGUAACCUGCCUGUAAGACUGGGAUAACUCCGGGAAACCGGGGCUAAUACCGGAUGGUUGUCUGAACCGCAUGGUUCAGACAUAAAAGGUGGCUUCGGCUACCACUUACAGAUGGACCCGCGGCGCAUUAGCUAGUUGGUGAGGUAACGGCUCACCAAGGCGACGAUGCGUAGCCGACCUGAGAGGGUGAUCGGCCACACUGGGACUGAGACACGGCCCAGACUCCUACGGGAGGCAGCAGUAGGGAAUCUUCCGCAAUGGACGAAAGUCUGACGGAGCAACGCCGCGUGAGUGAUGAAGGUUUUCGGAUCGUAAAGCUCUGUUGUUAGGGAAGAACAAGUGCCGUUCAAAUAGGGCGGCACCUUGACGGUACCUAACCAGAAAGCCACGGCUAACUACGUGCCAGCAGCCGCGGUAAUACGUAGGUGGCAAGCGUUGUCCGGAAUUAUUGGGCGUAAAGGGCUCGCAGGCGGUUUCUUAAGUCUGAUGUGAAAGCCCCCGGCUCAACCGGGGAGGGUCAUUGGAAACUGGGGAACUUGAGUGCAGAAGAGGAGAGUGGAAUUCCACGUGUAGCGGUGAAAUGCGUAGAGAUGUGGAGGAACACCAGUGGCGAAGGCGACUCUCUGGUCUGUAACUGACGCUGAGGAGCGAAAGCGUGGGGAGCGAACAGGAUUAGAUACCCUGGUAGUCCACGCCGUAAACGAUGAGUGCUAAGUGUUAGGGGGUUUCCGCCCCUUAGUGCUGCAGCUAACGCAUUAAGCACUCCGCCUGGGGAGUACGGUCGCAAGACUG
This 866-nucleotide ribosomal RNA is filed under the name Bacillus amyloliquefaciens. RNAcentral describes it as "bacterial SSU rRNA". It matches the Rfam family "Bacterial small subunit ribosomal RNA", at positions 49 to 896 of the family's 1533-position model. Lineage: Bacteria; Bacillati; Bacillota; Bacilli; Caryophanales; Bacillaceae. The record is from RNAcentral.